UACGAACUGUGCGAACGUUAUUCGGAAUCACUGGGCUUACAGGGUGCGUAGGCGGCUCAACAAGUCAGGUGUGAAAGCCCCCGGCUCAACCGGGGAACUGCGCUUGAAACUGUUAGGCUCGAGUCAGCUAGAGGUACACGGAACUUCCAGUGGAGCGGUGAAAUGUGUUGAUAUUGGAAGGAACACCGGAGGCGAAAGCGGUGUUCUGGGGCUGGUCUGACACUGAGGCACGAAAGCCAGGGGAGCGAACGGG
This 253-nucleotide ribosomal RNA is filed under the name uncultured bacterium. Its description in RNAcentral is "partial 16S ribosomal RNA". It matches the Rfam family "Bacterial small subunit ribosomal RNA", at positions 524 to 776 of the family's 1533-position model. The record is from RNAcentral.